This is a small nuclear RNA of Psammomys obesus (fat sand rat), 103 nucleotides long. Lineage: Eukaryota; Metazoa; Chordata; Mammalia; Rodentia; Muridae. The record is from RefSeq and is a predicted model, not a curated record.
UUGCUUUGGCAGCACAUAUAUUAAAAUUGGAACGAUACAGAGAAGAUUAACAUGCCCUCUGCACAAGAAUGACACACAAAUUAGUGAAGCAUUCCAUACUUAA